CACCGCCCGUCACACCAUGAGAGCUGACUGUACCAGAAGUCGUUGGGCUAACCCGCAAGGGACGCAGGCGCCUAAGGUAUGGUUGGUGAUUGGGGUG
Molecule: ribosomal RNA, 97 nt
Filed under: uncultured bacterium
Lineage: Bacteria
Description: partial 16S ribosomal RNA
Rfam family: Bacterial small subunit ribosomal RNA
Source: RNAcentral